RNAcentral lists this long non-coding RNA (228 nucleotides) under Elaeis guineensis (African oil palm). RNAcentral describes it as "long non-coding RNA (EGUI_LNC001272)". Lineage: Eukaryota; Viridiplantae; Streptophyta; Magnoliopsida; Arecales; Arecaceae. The record is from RNAcentral.
CUUGCCAUCGUUAGCCUUCGUUAGCAAACAAAAGAUCAUUAAAUGGAAGACAAAAGAUAGAUGGCAAGCAGCCACAAAAAUCACUCAAGCGAACUAAAUAUUUUGCUUCAAUCCAGUAACCAUGUUUACAGUAGUGAACGAUACAUCAUACCAUAACAAUUAUGAUAUUUAGUCCUCAGAUAUAGAUAUAUAGUUUUCACAAAUCUAUCUUGUGGAUAUAUUGUGGGG